Molecule: ribosomal RNA, 459 nt
Filed under: uncultured bacterium
Lineage: Bacteria
Description: partial 16S ribosomal RNA
Rfam family: Bacterial small subunit ribosomal RNA
Source: RNAcentral
CCUACGGGAUGCAGCAGUGAGGAAUAUUGGUCAAUGGGCGGGAGCCUGACCCAGCCAAGCCGCGUGAGGGAAGAAGGUACAGCGUAUCGUAAACCUCUUUUGUCAGGGAACAAAGGCGGGGACUAGUCCCCGGAUGAGGGUACCUGAAGAAAAAGCAUCGGCUAACUCCGUGCCAGCAGCCGCGGUAAUACGGAGGAUGCGAGCGUUAUCCGGCUUUAUUGGGUUUAAAGAGGGCGCAGGCGGCCUGUUAAGUACGCGGGAAAAGCCCGGGGCUCAACCCCGGCGAGCCGUUGAAACUGGCGGGCUGGAGUUGGAGAGAAGUACGCGGAAUGCGCGGUGUAGCGGUGAAAUGCUUAGAUAUCGCGCAGAACCCCGAUUGCGAAGGCAGCGUACCGGCUCCACACUGACGCUGAGGCACGAAAGCGUGGGUAUCGAACAGGAUUAGAUACCCGAGUAGUC